Molecule: ribosomal RNA, 2899 nt
Filed under: Klebsiella quasipneumoniae
Lineage: Bacteria; Pseudomonadati; Pseudomonadota; Gammaproteobacteria; Enterobacterales; Enterobacteriaceae
Description: 23S ribosomal RNA
Rfam family: Bacterial large subunit ribosomal RNA
Source: RNAcentral
UUAAGCGACUAAGCGUACACGGUGGAUGCCCUGGCAGUCAGAGGCGAUGAAGGACGUGCUAAUCUGCGAAAAGCGUCGGUAAGGUGAUAUGAACCGUUAUAACCGGCGAUGUCCGAAUGGGGAAACCCAGUGUGAUUCGUCACACUAUCGUUAACUGAAUACAUAGGUUAACGAGGCGAACCGGGGGAACUGAAACAUCUAAGUACCCCGAGGAAAAGAAAUCAACCGAGAUUCCCCCAGUAGCGGCGAGCGAACGGGGAGCAGCCCAGAGUCUGAAUCAGCUUGUGUGUUAGUGGAACGGUCUGGAAAGUCCGACGGUACAGGGUGAUAGUCCCGUACACCAAAAUGCACAGGCUGUGAACUCGAAGAGUAGGGCGGGACACGUGGUAUCCUGUCUGAAUAUGGGGGGACCAUCCUCCAAGGCUAAAUACUCCUGACUGACCGAUAGUGAACCAGUACCGUGAGGGAAAGGCGAAAAGAACCCCGGCGAGGGGAGUGAAAAAGAACCUGAAACCGUGUACGUACAAGCAGUGGGAGCACCUUCGGGUGUGACUGCGUACCUUUUGUAUAAUGGGUCAGCGACUUAUAUUCUGUAGCAAGGUUAACCGUAUAGGGGAGCCGCAGGGAAACCGAGUCUUAACUGGGCGUUAAGUUGCAGGGUAUAGACCCGAAACCCGGUGAUCUAGCCAUGGGCAGGUUGAAGGUUGGGUAACACUAACUGGAGGACCGAACCGACUAAUGUUGAAAAAUUAGCGGAUGACUUGUGGCUGGGGGUGAAAGGCCAAUCAAACCGGGAGAUAGCUGGUUCUCCCCGAAAGCUAUUUAGGUAGCGCCUCGUGAAUUCAUCUUCGGGGGUAGAGCACUGUUUCGGCUAGGGGGUCAUCCCGACUUACCAACCCGAUGCAAACUACGAAUACCGAAGAAUGUUAUCACGGGAGACACACGGCGGGUGCUAACGUCCGUCGUGAAGAGGGAAACAACCCAGACCGCCAGCUAAGGUCCCAAAGUCAUGGUUAAGUGGGAAACGAUGUGGGAAGGCACAGACAGCCAGGAUGUUGGCUUAGAAGCAGCCAUCAUUUAAAGAAAGCGUAAUAGCUCACUGGUCGAGUCGGCCUGCGCGGAAGAUGUAACGGGGCUAAACCAUGCACCGAAGCUGCGGCAGCGACACGAUGUGUUGUUGGGUAGGGGAGCGUUCUGUAAGCCUGCGAAGGUGACCUGUGAGGGUUGCUGGAGGUAUCAGAAGUGCGAAUGCUGACAUAAGUAACGAUAAAGCGGGUGAAAAGCCCGCUCGCCGGAAGACCAAGGGUUCCUGUCCAACGUUAAUCGGGGCAGGGUGAGUCGACCCCUAAGGCGAGGCCGAAAGGCGUAGUCGAUGGGAAACAGGUUAAUAUUCCUGUACUUGGUGUUACUGCGAAGGGGGGACGGAGAAGGCUAUGUUAGCCGGGCGACGGUUGUCCCGGUUUAAGCAUGUAGGCUGGUUAUCCAGGCAAAUCCGGAUAAUCAAGGCUGAGGUGUGAUGACGAAGCACUACGGUGCUGAAGUAACAAAUGCCCUGCUUCCAGGAAAAGCCUCUAAGCAUCAGGUAACAUCAAAUCGUACCCCAAACCGACACAGGUGGUCAGGUAGAGAAUACCAAGGCGCUUGAGAGAACUCGGGUGAAGGAACUAGGCAAAAUGGUGCCGUAACUUCGGGAGAAGGCACGCUGGUGUGUAGGUGAAGCCCCUGCGGGUGGAGCUGAGACCAGUCGAAGAUACCAGCUGGCUGCAACUGUUUAUUAAAAACACAGCACUGUGCAAACACGAAAGUGGACGUAUACGGUGUGACGCCUGCCCGGUGCCGGAAGGUUAAUUGAUGGGGUUAUCCGUAAGGAGAAGCUCUUGAUCGAAGCCCCGGUAAACGGCGGCCGUAACUAUAACGGUCCUAAGGUAGCGAAAUUCCUUGUCGGGUAAGUUCCGACCUGCACGAAUGGCGUAAUGAUGGCCAGGCUGUCUCCACCCGAGACUCAGUGAAAUUGAACUCGCUGUGAAGAUGCAGUGUACCCGCGGCAAGACGGAAAGACCCCGUGAACCUUUACUAUAGCUUGACACUGAACAUUGAGCCUUGAUGUGUAGGAUAGGUGGGAGGCUUUGAAGCGUGGACGCCAGUCUGCGUGGAGCCAACCUUGAAAUACCACCCUUUAAUGUUUGAUGUUCUAACGUUGGCCCCUUAUCGGGGUUGCGGACAGUGUCUGGUGGGUAGUUUGACUGGGGCGGUCUCCUCCCAAAGCGUAACGGAGGAGCACGAAGGUUAGCUAAUCCUGGUCGGACAUCAGGAGGUUAGUGCAAUGGCAUAAGCUAGCUUGACUGCGAGCGUGACGGCGCGAGCAGGUGCGAAAGCAGGUCAUAGUGAUCCGGUGGUUCUGAAUGGAAGGGCCAUCGCUCAACGGAUAAAAGGUACUCCGGGGAUAACAGGCUGAUACCGCCCAAGAGUUCAUAUCGACGGCGGUGUUUGGCACCUCGAUGUCGGCUCAUCACAUCCUGGGGCUGAAGUAGGUCCCAAGGGUAUGGCUGUUCGCCAUUUAAAGUGGUACGCGAGCUGGGUUUAGAACGUCGUGAGACAGUUCGGUCCCUAUCUGCCGUGGGCGCUGGAGAAUUGAGGGGGGCUGCUCCUAGUACGAGAGGACCGGAGUGGACGCAUCACUGGUGUUCGGGUUGUCAUGCCAAUGGCACUGCCCGGUAGCUAAAUGCGGAAGAGAUAAGUGCUGAAAGCAUCUAAGCACGAAACUUGCCCCGAGAUGAGUUCUCCCUGAGACUUUAAGUCUCCUGAAGGAACGUUAAAGACGAUGACGUUGAUAGGCCGGGUGUGUAAGCGCAGCGAUGCGUUGAGCUAACCGGUACUAAUGAACCGUGAGGCUUAACCU